CAAAAAGUCAAUGGUUGUUUUAUCUCGGAAUAUUGUAAAUAUGUGUCCGUAAGAUUGACUGGAACCCAAUGUCGAAAUUAUUUUCCGUUUUUCUGAAAAACGGUAAGAGACCGCCAGGAAAAAAGUUCAGAUUCUUAAUCUACGACCUCAAAAUAGGGUGUAUACCAAUUUUGGUGAAAAUCGGACGAUUUCCAGUUUUCCCAAUAAUUACCAAAUUACGAUAUGCAGCUGUAUGUUCAGACCAUUUCAUAACAGGCUAUCCAUCUCCAGUGGGUAAAGUAAAUCAUCCAGAUUAUAUACGUUCCAACCCAAAAGCUGGGAUAUGUAACAAGCUUCUUAGUUCAGACUACUGCUGUUGAUAGAUACAACAAGACAACGAAAAGUCUGCGACGGAGCAGUUUACAGGCUUUUUUACAAACUUGCAUUGUUGCUACAGGCAAUUUUAACUACGAGAACAUCUUGAUAGUCACUUUUCUCUUAUCUUUGUUGUACGAUCAAGUAUUCUUUGGCAAAAAAAACCCAAUUCAAAGUUAGAUCUUUUUUGGACCACGCGUUAACUGUUGGUGUCUGGGCUGGUCUAGCCUAUGGCGCUGUUAAAUUAUAAGGAAUAAAAUUUACUGGUGGAAUAUUGGAUGCUCAAAUUGUGUGCGGCGCAGCAGGUCAAGCGCGGGUACAUGAAAAUUAGCGGAGUUGAUUAGCUGUGUGGUUCCGGCGCAUGCGUAUUGGAACGGCAGAAGAAUGUAAUGCUUCAAUAUAGCUUGGUUUCGAAAGCAGCAUGUAGCUCCGUGGAUGAGACCAUAAAAUAAUUAACUAGAAAGAAGUGUCAACUCUGUGUUAAAUCGUGGAAACACGAUACGCCACCGAAAGC
Molecule: long non-coding RNA, 868 nt
Organism: Sitophilus oryzae (rice weevil)
Lineage: Eukaryota; Metazoa; Arthropoda; Insecta; Coleoptera; Curculionidae
Exons: 5
Source: RefSeq, a predicted model, not a curated record